Molecule: ribosomal RNA, 492 nt
Filed under: uncultured bacterium
Lineage: Bacteria
Description: partial 16S ribosomal RNA
Rfam family: Bacterial small subunit ribosomal RNA
Source: RNAcentral
AGUGAACGCUGGCGGUAGGCCUAACACAUGCAAGUCGAACGGCAGCACAGUAAGAGCUUGCUCUUACGGGUGGCGAGUGGCGGACGGGUGAGGAAUACAUCGGAAUCUACUUUUUCGUGGGGGAUAACGUAGGUAAACUUACGCUAAUACCGCAUACGACCUACGGGUGAAAGCAGGGGAUCUUCGGACCUUGCGCGAUUGAAUGAGCCGAUGUCGGAUUAGCUAGUUGGCGGGGUAAAGGCCCACCAAGGCGACGAUCCGUAGCUGGUCUGAGAGGAUGAUCAGCCAAACUGGAACUGAGACACGGUCCAGACUCCUACGGGAGGCAGCAGUGGGGAAUAUUGGACAAUGGGCGCAAGCCUGAUCCAGCCAUACCGCGUGGGUGAAGAAGGCCUUCGGGUUGUAAAGCCCUUUUGUUGGGAAAGAAAAGAAGCAGGUUAAUACCCCGCUGUUCUGACGGUACCCAAAGAAUAAGCACCGGCUAACUUCGUG